GUCACUGGGGACAGAGGGGGCGUCAGCCACCGGGCAGAGCCAGGCUGCUCUGGGCCUGUCUCAGUGCUGUCGCCUGGCCCAGCCACAGUGCGCCCUCGCCCCCUCGGAGAAGCGGGGUGCUCGCUGGCCGACCCACCACUGGGAAGUGGAGGGCUGUUUUGGAGCCGGGCAGAGAGGCAUUCUUGUGCUCUGACCAGGCCUGUCUGGGAUACACCGAGAACCCGGGCCCCGCCCCACAGCCCCCCGCAUCUCCAUGUUGUUCCCAGGGGUUCACCUAGUCCCUCCUGGGCUCCGACCUGUCUGCGGGGUCAGGGGUGGGAUUGGGGGAUCAAGCUUUACCUUCCCGGCCUUCACCCUGAGCCACCACCUUGGGGUCCGUGUACUCAGGCCUCCGUCCCAUGAACCAGCUGAGAAGACAGGAAGCCAGGUGAGCCACAGGGCCGGGGCCCACAAACACUGAAGUGGGCGCCCUCCUGACUUCGGAAACCAGCAGCCUCCCCGCCACUAGGGGCAGGCCCUGGGCAGACACGCCCCACAUCCCUCGGCCACCUCAGGGGCAUCAGAGCUGGCUUGACUGGCCCUGACCAACACUGAGCCACAGCACCCCGCACUACCCCGCUGGGUGGGCCGCCUGCCCUGGGGGUCACAGGCCUCCCGUGUGGAAGGCGCGAGGUUCCUGCUUCCUGGAGAGGCCGUCCUCAGCCUCCUGGACAGCCGCUGGCCUGCAGGGGGCGGGGUCUGCCCAGCCCAGCCCCCCUGGCGUCCACCCGGUCCAGGCGCCAGCGCCCACUGGCUGCCAGCUCCACCGCUGGUGGCGGAGCGGCCGCCCGGUCUGCCCACAGGCUGCGUGGAAGCCCAGUGGGGGGCGCAGGGGCUCCCAGCCCCAAGGAAGGGGACGGGGGAGGCGGAGCCCAGGCUCCAGCUGGGGCUGACGGGUGAGUCACCGCUCUGUGCCUCGGUUUCUCCAUCUGAGGAGUGGGGCUGUAACAGCACCCACCUCAGAGGCAGGGAAGCAGCCCCACGAGCCUGGCACGACCCAUGUGGGAACGCAGAGCGAGUGCCACAGCUCCUCUGAGGACGGUGAGGGCGCUGUGGGCCGGGCGCAAAGCCGGGAAGGGCCGAGCUGGCUGGAGGGCCACGCAGGGGCCAGAGGAAGUGAGCGCUGACCGCAGGCGUGCCUCCGCAGGCUCUAAAGCUUCAGGAAACCCUUCCUUGGUGCUGCGUGAAGCGCAGGUCGGAGGUAGUCGCAGGCUGAAUCAUGGCCCAAGACACAGGUCCUGGUCCCUGGCCCCUGGGAAUGCGGCCUCGUCUGGAAGGACCCUUGCGCAGGUGACUGGGGGAGCUGAGCACGGGCACACUUUGGCCUCCCCUGUGGCCUUCGAUGCCACAGAAAUGUCCUCGUGAGAGGCAGAGACUGGAGUGGCGUGGCCACGAGCCAGGGCAGGCCACAGCCCAGCAGCUGGGGGGGCGGGGGGGCUCCCCGAGCCUGGACGGUGCGCAGCCCGCCGACACCUCACAGCCCAGCAGGGAUGCUGGCAUUUCGGGUUCAGAACUGGAGGAAGUAAACCUGCGGUGUUAAGCCAGCAAGGUGGCGGUAGUUUGUCCGCAGUGGCCACGGCCACGGCCACGGGAGAGUAACACUGGGCAGAAGAGAAUGCAAACAGCAGGCCAGCGAAGCUGCGGAGGGACAGCGGAGGCCGCGGGAGAGCCAGGCGCUGGAGAAACUGGGGCAGGCGGAGAGGGGACUGGCCACCCCGGGUCUCGGGCCUGAGCAAAGGGGGCUGCUGGAGCUGGGCCCUUGGUGGCCUCCCUGGACCCCUUGUCUGCCUUCACCCCUUAGACCUCUCCCCCGCGGCCUCGCCCAGGCCUGAGCUCCUGCACCGAGGCAUCGGGAGGCAAGAGCCUCGACUGUUCUGUGAGCUGAGGCCUGGCCUUCCCAGGGAGCCUCACGAGGAAGCCCGGGCCCCUCGGAGCUGGGAGCUGGGGUGCAGCAGUGCACCCCCGGGCAGGACGGCUGUGGCUCUCACAGCCCUUGACCUUCCUGUGCCCGCUGACAGGCACUGCCCCGCUUCCCCAACAGCCCAGGGGACGGUGCUGUUGCGCCUCCACCCAUCAUGGCGGCCUCCCUGAGGGGCCUCUAGGGGCAUGAGGCACCCGCACUCUCCCUUCCCCAGGCCUCAGAACUUAGUGAGGACUUCUCAGUCCUGGCCCAAUGCUGUCCCUCCGCCCCGGUCUCCCCGGCCCAGCCCCCAGGGCAGUGUGCCAGCUGCCGCCCUCCACCCGAUCUCCCGGCCCAGCCCACAGGGCAGUGUGCCAGCUGCUGCCCUCCGCCCGGUCUCCCGGCCCAGCCCACAGGGCAGUGUGCCAGCUGCCGCCCUCCGCCCGGUCUCCCGGCCCAGCCCACCGGGCAGUGUGCCAGCUGCCGCCCUCCGCCCGAUCUCCCGGCCCAGCCCACCGGGCAGUGUGCCAGCUGCCGCCCUAGAGCCCAGCUGGUCCUGCACUUCCCCUUGUCCUGCUGGUGAACAGAGGGCCCGGCCUGCUGACCUGCUGGGGAGCAGCGGUGGUUUAUAGCUGAGCUGAUAGAGAGGCUGCUGUCCCACCCACUGGCCAGUCAGCCAGGGGCUAGCUGGCCCCCACUCCCACUUGGAGGUGGUGAGGGCCAAGGCCUGAGGCUCAGCCUCCCUGACGCCCACCACCAGCACUCCCUGCAGGCACUCACCUUGUGAGCUUUUGCAGCUUGGAUGUAGAUUCUGGGACGAACAUGGGGAUGGUCCUUUUGUGCCUGAAACAGAAGUUUUGACACAUGUGCUGAGGGACAGAGAAGCAACGCCAAUGCCGGAGCCUCCAGCCAGCGGCCAGCGGCCAGCGGCGGGCAGCCGGGCAGCGCACGGACGCGGCGUGCCUGCUGUGGCACGAAGCCAGCCUUGCAGAGCUGUACCUCAUGAGCCUUUUGUUCUUUGAAGGAGCCAGAAGGAUGCUGAGGCUACAAACCUCAAACCGGUGCCCAUGUGCCCCUUAGAGCCCUGUCCUCCAAAUGUCCACAUGCUCUGCCAUCUUCAGGGCCCAGCGCGGUGCCCUUCCUCCAGGAAGCCCUGACCAACCCUGGACCUCGGCCCCGCCCUGGUGGCCUGCCCCAGGCCCGUCUCACCCUCAGAGCCCGGGGCCUGUCCCCCCCUCUCUCCUGGCCUCCGAGUCUGGCCCUUGUUUUAACAGAACUCAGAGCAGCGCACCCGGCGCCUCCUCUCAGCCUUCUCCAAGCAGCUGACCUCAGCCUGCUCUGUGCACCAGCCCAGUCCACACCCUCCCAGCAGUGCCUGGCAGGGCUGCGCCUCUCCAUGGCCAUGGCUCUAGGGGCUCCUGAGGGCAGAGCCCACGUGGCCACACGUGUCUGACACUUCCGUGUCCUCUGCUGCAGAGCACUGGGGGCGGGAGAGAUGAAGGGCUGCGUGCACUCCAGACCCUACCUGCCCAGGCCCCUCGGAGUGGGCGCAGCCCUCAGGAUGCCAGCACUCCCUCCACCCCGCGGUGUUCGGGCAGCAUGAACCUCGCCCACUUAGGUCCCUUCCAGAUAUGGGCUCUGCCCCCCCCACCCAACCUGAGCUGCCCAGAACCCGGGGCAACAGCACAUUCCUGGCCAAGAGGUGAAGUCUGUCCCAGGAAGAGCCCUGCUGAUGAUGCCAGUUCCUGAGCCAGAGCGGCCCAGUGAGGGACGGGCUGUGCCGGAGGGCCUACCUGCCAGGCGAGAAAGGCACGUGCACUGCCCCGUAGCCUCGGACCACGUCGUUCCCGAACACGUCUGGUCCGUACACGCUGAGCACAAUCUGUGGCCCUGGGAGGACAAGGCAGGUCAGCGUGUGGGAGCCGUGGGGGAGGUGCAGGCAGAGGGGAGGAGGGUGCUCAAGCCCAGGGCAGAGGCCUGGCAGCAGGUGCAGACCUGGCACCCCUGCAGCACCAACAGUUCCUGCAGUCCAGGUCCAGGUCCAGGUGAGGAGGACCAGAACCUGCAGGGCAGGCCCCUGGCUUGGCCAACGCCAGAGUCAGAGCCAGGGUGCUGCCCUCCGCCUGUCAUCAGACACAUGGAAGUGGCUCUGGAGCCCUUUAGGGACGGGCCAGGCGGCUGGUUUCUGUCAGGGGGAGACGUCAGAGAGAAAGCAAAGGCCUUCCUGCACCUCCUAUACACACUAGGAAUUACACCCAGGCUGGUGGGGCUCAGUACCAAAAGGCUGCUGGUUCGAUGCCCAGGUGGCGGGCUGGAACCCUGGUAGGGGCAUGCAACAUGCAGCUGAUGGAUGUUCACUCUCACAUCAAUGUUUCUCUCUCUUCCUCUUUCUAAAAAUCAAUACAAAAUAUUAGCAAUUACACCUGUUCUGUUUACAUCAAGGCAUCUCGCCGUGGCCCCGAUGAUGGCAGCGGGGCUGACGCAGUGGGGGCUGACCUGGCGGCCGCUAGCACUAGUCGCAGGCAACUCCCGCCUCGGUGCUCCACCUCCUCGAGGCCUGGAGGGGGCCUGAGGCCGUGUCAGCCAGGGUGGGGCCUGUGUCUGCCCGUCACUAGCUCCAAAGGCCGCCACCGCCCAGCACUUCAUGAAGCCACUUCUUUGCCAAAGAUGCAUCCCGCAGGCGGGCACUUUGGUCGUCCCCUUCUCUGAACUUCCUGACUGGCUUUCUCGCGGGUUUGGAACAGGUGUGAAUUCUGCGCUCUCCUCACUUUCUUCUGACCAGAAGCUGCGGAUGCCCGUCCCGAGGCCCCCGUCCCGCGGCCUGGCGCCAGCGCCCGUGCUGUCCUCCUGAAGGAAGCUGGCUCUUCCCAUCGGCAUCUGCAGACCCACGGGCAUCGGUCUGUGUGUGUAACACAAAGUAGGGGUCUGCUUCCUCUGCCACCCCGUGCACAUCCGCUCGUCCCAGCACCGCUUACCAAAGACUCUCACUCACUCACACACACACACACUCAACACACACACACACUCAACACACACACACACUCACACUCAACACACACUCACACGCACUCACACACACUCAACACACACACACUCAACACUCACACACACACACUCACACACACACACAUAUGCACACACAAAAGACUCUCCCUGCAGCUGGGCAGCGCCAGUCGGUCAGCUGCCUGCAGGCGCCGGUGCGGGCCGGCUCUGUGCUUGUCUGUCUGUCCUGUGCCAACGAUGCUGCCGCAGUCACCGUGCUUUGCAAUCAAAGCUUCACAUCCGGGACAAGUUAUAUCUUGAUAUUUUACGUGUCUCACUUUUAAACUAUCAUUUUCUAUUUACUUCUUAUACAGAACAGAAUAUUUAUGUAUUCUAUUUAUUCUUACACAAAAAGCAACUGAUUCUUUAUUAAUCCUAUCAACAGCUUGCAUGCCAGUGUAUCGCCUGAUAAUUUAUUUGUAGGUUACUUUGGACAUUCUACAUAAUCACGUCACCCGUAGAUAAUUUUGUUCUUCCUCCCCGAUUCUUACGCCCUUUAUGAGCACAGUGUUGGUGAUAACAAGCACCCUGACCUCAGGGCGAUCCUCCGACAGUUCACGAGCAGUGAUGUUCCUCUAAGUUUUCAUAGACAGCCUUUAUUGGAGUAAGGAAGCUUCGCUCUAUUCCUACUUUGCUAAAUAUUUAUCAAGAAUGGAUGUUGGGGAAAAAAAAAAAAAAAAA
This is a long non-coding RNA of Myotis myotis, 5662 nucleotides long. RefSeq lists it as uncharacterized. The record is from RefSeq and is a predicted model, not a curated record. The transcript is spliced from 2 exons. Lineage: Eukaryota; Metazoa; Chordata; Mammalia; Chiroptera; Vespertilionidae.